AGGGAUUCAUGCAACCAGUCACAUGGAAUGGUACAGCUAUGGGGCUCACCAUGGUAGACUGAAAGGCUUAUCCAGAAUAAAAUUACAGCCAAAGGGGUGAAGUGCCUCAGUGAUGCUCUCCAGGAGAACACAACUAUUAAAGAAAUCUGCUUGAACGGGAACCUGAUAAGCCAAGAAGAGGCCAAAGCUUUUGAAAAUGAAAAGCGGAUCAUUUGCUUUUGAAUGGGGACUUUCCCAUUUUGCUCCUACACUUGGACAGCAGAGUUUAUAAAGGCAUCAAUCUACAGUGCUCGUGGCAGGAGAGAGAUACACAAUAAGCUGCCUUUUUAUGAGCACACUGCACUCCCUCAGCUCCAUCCCUUACUCUGCCUGUUAUUUUUAAUCCUUUUGGUGAGUGGGAAGUUGCCUGGGUAAAUAAUUAAUGUUUGUUUGAUGCUUUGAAGAUGAAAUGCAAAGUGUUAACAGGCUAGAUCCACUGGCAGGUGUAUGCAUUUUGUUAACUGAGUUUAGAUCUAUUCUGUACAGUGAUGUAAAUAAUCUCUUAACUUAUUUAUAUACGUAAAUAAAGACACACAAGUAUACAUGUGCAAGAAAGGGUACAAGAUCCAAAAACUCCACCAGCUCUGACUAUUACCUGCCUCAGAUCUGAAAAUUAAUAUAUACACAGCUUUACCAGAAACAGUA
Molecule: non-coding RNA, 684 nt
Organism: Lonchura striata (white-rumped munia)
Lineage: Eukaryota; Metazoa; Chordata; Aves; Passeriformes; Estrildidae
Source: RefSeq, a predicted model, not a curated record